GCCUGGGUGGCUCAGUCGGUUGAGCGUCUGACUUCGGCUCAGGUCAUGAUCUCACAGCUCGUGAGUUCGAGCCCCACAUCGGGUG
This 85-nucleotide transfer RNA is filed under the name Felis catus (domestic cat). It matches the Rfam family "tRNA". From Rfam's summary of the family: Transfer RNA (tRNA) molecules are approximately 80 nucleotides in length. Their secondary structure includes four short double-helical elements and three loops (D, anti-codon, and T loops). Further hydrogen bonds mediate the characteristic L-shaped molecular structure. tRNAs have two regions of fundamental functional importance: the anti-codon, which is responsible for specific mRNA codon recognition, and the 3' end, to which the tRNAs corresponding amino acid is attached (by aminoacyl-tRNA synthetases). tRNAs cope with the degeneracy of the genetic code in two manners: having more than one tRNA (with a specific anti-codon) for a particular amino acid; and 'wobble' base-pairing, i.e. permitting non-standard base-pairing at the 3rd anti-codon position. The record is from Rfam by way of RNAcentral. Lineage: Eukaryota; Metazoa; Chordata; Mammalia; Carnivora; Felidae.